UGACCGCUGGCGGCGUGCCUAAUACAUGCAAGUCGCGCGAACGGACGAGAAGCUUGCUUCUCUGAUGUUAGCGGCGGACGGGUGAGUAACACGUGGAUAACCUACCUAUAAGACUGGGAUAACUUCGGGAAACCGGAGCUAAUACCGGAUAAUAUUUUGAACCGCAUGGUUCAAAAGUGAAAGACGGUCUUGCUGUCACUUAUAGAUGGAUCCGCGCUGCAUUAGCUAGUUGGUAAGGUAACGGCUUACCAAGGCAACGAUGCAUAGCCGACCUGAGAGGGCGAUCGGCCACACUGGAACUGAGACACGGUCCAGACUCCUACGGGAGGCAGCAGUAGGGAAUCUUCCGCAAUGGGCGAAAGCCUGACGGAGCAACGCCGCGUGAGUGAUGAAGGUCUUCGGAUCGUAAAACUCUGUUAUUAGGGAAGAACAUAUGUGUAAGUAACUGUGCACAUCUUGACGGUACCUAAUCAGAAAGCCACGGCUAACUACGUG
This 495-nucleotide ribosomal RNA is filed under the name uncultured bacterium. RNAcentral's name for it is "partial 16S ribosomal RNA". It matches the Rfam family "Bacterial small subunit ribosomal RNA", at positions 30 to 507 of the family's 1533-position model. The record is from RNAcentral.